Molecule: ribosomal RNA, 440 nt
Filed under: uncultured bacterium
Lineage: Bacteria
Description: partial 16S ribosomal RNA
Rfam family: Bacterial small subunit ribosomal RNA
Source: RNAcentral
CCUACGGGUGGCAGCAGUAGGGAAUAUUGCUCAAUGGGGGAAACCCUGAAGCAGCAACGCCGCGUGCAGGAUGACGGUUUUCUGAUUGUAAACUCCUUUUGGUAGGGAAGAUAAUGACGUUAUCUAACGGAUAAGCAACGGCUAACUCCGUGCCAGCAGCCGCGGUAAUACGGCGGGUGCAAGCGUUACUCGGAAUCACUGGGCGUAAAGAGCGCGUAGGCGGGAUAGCAAGUCAGAUGUGAAAUCCUAGGGCUUAACCAUAGAACUGCAUCUGAAACUGUUAGUCUAGAGUAGGGGAGGGGCAGGUGGAAUGAUUGGUGUAGGGGUAAAAUCCGUAGAGAUUAAGAGGAAUACUCAUUGCGAAGGCGACCUGCUAGAACAUAACUGACGCUGAUGCGCGAAAGCGUGGGGAGCAAACAGGAUUAGAUACCCUAGUAGUC